This is a non-coding RNA of Oryctolagus cuniculus (rabbit), 1231 nucleotides long. The record is from RefSeq and is a predicted model, not a curated record. Lineage: Eukaryota; Metazoa; Chordata; Mammalia; Lagomorpha; Leporidae.
CUGGACUUCAGAUUUUCAGAUUAGAAUGCUCAACCUGUUGUGUCCUAUGCUAGCACUGUGGAAAAUUCAGAGCCAGCACUGAGAGUGACCUGAACCUGCAUGAAUCUGCAAGGUGUGAAAGCAGCGUCUUGGGAACACGCUCAGAGGACUCUCCACUGCUGUAGGUUGUAGCCAGUGUGGACGAACAUUCUUCCAGGAGCAAGGAUACCACGCCAUCAUGGUAUGGAUGAUCAGACUGAGAAACUCUGGGAAAAACUCAGAGAAAAUGACAUAGCCAUGGAGGAAGGAAGAAUGUUCCAACUCAUCAUUAAAACGUUGUCUAUUACCAGACACUGAGGGUCUGGGAAGCAGAACAAAAUCAUGUUCAACCUUACUGGACAGACCUAUAGGAGGUGCAAAAUACCAUCCGCUUUAAACAGCACCAUAAAAGAUAAUAUAUUAAGAAUCUCAAAGCAGUGAAAAAGCACAUAAGGGGUGAUUAAUCACAUUUAUAAAUCUGUGUAACACUAUGACUCUGUGCCUAUGUAUAAAAUUCAAUUAAGAGAUUAAAAAAUUUGAUUUUAAAAAAAUUUAAUAAGAAAACAGAAAGUACUUUGUUUUCAUGAUAUACUUACGAAUGUAGAAUACAAAAAUGAAAUUAUAAUAGUCUCCAUUUAUAAAAAAUGUGUAUGUAUAUGUGUGUGUAUACACAGAAGUCCAUAUAUGCAAAGUUAGAUGCAUAAAGCUACCAUAAAGUGACAAUAGAACAGAAGUUAAGAUUAGAGGUUUUUUUAUAUUCUUUCUUAUACCAAUUUUCUUUGAUUAUAAUACAUAUAUUUAUAAAUAGAACCACAUUAAGUGAUCUACUUGGAGAGAGAACACAGAGAUAAUUCUUAAGAUUUAUUUUAAAGAUUUAUUUAUUUGUUCAAAAGUCAGUUACAGAGAGAGAAAGAGAGAGAGAGAGAGAGAAACAGAGUGUUCUUCUACCUUCUGGUUCACUCCCCAAAAGACCACAACAACCAGGGCUGGGCCAAGCCAAAGCCAGGAGCCAGGAGCCAGGAACUUCUUCCAGGUCUCCCACAUAGGUGUAGGGGCCCAAGGACUUUGACCAUCUUCUGCUGACUUCUCAGGCUUAUUAGCAGGGAGCUGGAUUGGAAGUGGAGCAGCCAGAAACUGAACUGGUGCCUAUAUGGGAUGCCUGCACUACAGACAGCUGCUUAACCAGCUGUACCAGAGCACCAGCCCCUAAGAG